Molecule: long non-coding RNA, 266 nt
Filed under: Vombatus ursinus (common wombat)
Lineage: Eukaryota; Metazoa; Chordata; Mammalia; Diprotodontia; Vombatidae
Description: lncRNA (ENSVURG00010010002.1)
Source: RNAcentral
CACAUCUCUGCGAUUUGAAAAGGAGCAACUUGGAAGAGUCUGAUUUCCUGCUUGACGUCUGGCUGCAUUUUGUCAGACUUGAAUCGUUCGGUGGAGGAGAACCGUAGAAAACUGUUCAAGAAUUCCUUUUGCUCUUCUGUUCCCUGUGGCUUUGGAAGUGGAGGAACUGGGGUCACAUCCUACCUUUGUCAUCAACAGCAAGUAAGUAACCUUUUCGAUGUUGUUCUCCUCUCUGGGUUUCCGUUUCAUCAUCAGUGAAAUGAAUA